GGAGAGGUGCCAGAGCUGGUCGAAUGGGCCUGACUCGAAAUCAGGUGUGCCUUCGGGCACCCAGGGUUCGAAUCCCUGCCUCUCCGCCA
This 89-nucleotide transfer RNA is filed under the name Gammaproteobacteria bacterium. RNAcentral's name for it is "tRNA-Ser". It matches the Rfam family "tRNA". From Rfam's summary of the family: Transfer RNA (tRNA) molecules are approximately 80 nucleotides in length. Their secondary structure includes four short double-helical elements and three loops (D, anti-codon, and T loops). Further hydrogen bonds mediate the characteristic L-shaped molecular structure. tRNAs have two regions of fundamental functional importance: the anti-codon, which is responsible for specific mRNA codon recognition, and the 3' end, to which the tRNAs corresponding amino acid is attached (by aminoacyl-tRNA synthetases). tRNAs cope with the degeneracy of the genetic code in two manners: having more than one tRNA (with a specific anti-codon) for a particular amino acid; and 'wobble' base-pairing, i.e. permitting non-standard base-pairing at the 3rd anti-codon position. Lineage: Bacteria; Pseudomonadati; Pseudomonadota; Gammaproteobacteria. The record is from RNAcentral.